UUAUGUAUGGAUAAAGAAAGGUACUAACUCUGAAGGACCCAAAGUCAUUUGGCUACCUAACAAAACCUAAUUUUUUUGGUAGGUUUGCUUGAAGACCACUACCAACCUUUAGUAUCUUGAUAGUGGGUACUCCAAGCAUAUGACGGGAGAUAUUAACAAAUUUUCAAAUCUAGCAUUAAAGGCCAAGGGUUAUAUCACUUAUGGAGAUAACAAC
Molecule: long non-coding RNA, 214 nt
Filed under: Lathyrus oleraceus (garden pea)
Lineage: Eukaryota; Viridiplantae; Streptophyta; Magnoliopsida; Fabales; Fabaceae
Description: Pisum sativum (pea) long non-coding RNA (PSAT_LNC019636)
Source: RNAcentral